GACGAACGCUGGCGGCGUGCUUAACACAUACAAGUCGAACGGAAAGGCCCUGCUUUUGUGGGGUGCUCGAGUGGCGAACGGGUAAGUAACACGUGAGUAACCUGCCCUUGACUUUGGGAUAACUUCAGGAAACUGGGGCUAAUACCGGAUAGGAGCUCCUGCUGCAUGGUGGGGGUUGGAAAGUUUCGGCGGUUGGGGAUGGACUCGCGGCUUAUCAGCUUGUUGGUGGGGUAGUGGCUUACCAAGGCUUUGACGGGUAGCCGGCCUGAGAGGGUGACCGGCCACAUUGGGACUGAGAUACGGCCCAGACUCCUACAGGAGGCAGCAGUGGGGAAUAUUGCACAAUGGGCGGAAGCCUGAUGCAGCAACGCCGCGUGCGGGAUGACGGCCUUCGGGUUGUAAACCGCUUUCGCCUGUGACGAAGCGUGAGUGACGGUAAUGGGUAAAGAAGCACCGGCUAACUACGUG
This 468-nucleotide ribosomal RNA is filed under the name uncultured bacterium. Its description in RNAcentral is "partial 16S ribosomal RNA". It matches the Rfam family "Bacterial small subunit ribosomal RNA", at positions 28 to 507 of the family's 1533-position model. The record is from RNAcentral.